CCUACGGGAGGCAGCAGUAGGGAAUCUUGCACAAUGGGCGAAAGCCUGAUGCAGCAACGCCGCGUGGGUGAAGAAGGUCUUCGGAUCGUAAAACCCUGUCGUUAGAGAAGAAAGUGAGUGAGAGUAACCGUUCACGUUUGGACGGUAUCUAACCAGAAAGCCACGGCUAACUACGUGCCAGCAGGCGCGGUAAUACGUAGGGGGCAAGCGUUAUCCGGAUUGAUUGGGCGGAAAGGGAACGCAGGCGGUCUUUUAAGUCUGAUGUGAAAGCCUUCGGCUCAACCGGAGUAGUGCAUUGGAAACUGGGAGACUUGAGUGCAGCAGAGGAGAGUGGAAUUCCAGGUGUAGCGGUGAAAUGCGUAGAUAUAAGGAGGAACACCAGUGGCGAAGGCGGCUCACUGGUCUGUAACUGACGCUGAGGUUCGAAAGCGUGGGUAGCAAACAGGAUUAGAUACCCGGGUAGUC
This 465-nucleotide ribosomal RNA is filed under the name uncultured bacterium. RNAcentral describes it as "partial 16S ribosomal RNA". It matches the Rfam family "Bacterial small subunit ribosomal RNA", at positions 338 to 795 of the family's 1533-position model. The record is from RNAcentral.